RNAcentral lists this ribosomal RNA (133 nucleotides) under uncultured bacterium. RNAcentral describes it as "partial 16S ribosomal RNA". It matches the Rfam family "Bacterial small subunit ribosomal RNA", at positions 355 to 485 of the family's 1533-position model. The record is from RNAcentral.
UGAGGAAUAUUGGUCAAUGGAGGCAACUCUGAACCAGCCAUGCCGCGUGCAGGAAGACGGCCCUAUGGGUUGUAAACUGCUUUUAUACAGGAAGAAACUCACCCACGUGUGGGUAACUGACGGUACUGUAAGA